CGAUCGGGAGGCCACCCUUGGGACGGUGGUCAGGCAUAGAUCGGAACCUGCCCCUCGCGGAUGGAUGCGCGGCCGGAGCCCGACGGCGCGCGCU
Roseivivax isoporae LMG 25204 is the source of this 94-nucleotide regulatory RNA element. It matches the Rfam family "Rhodo-rpoB RNA". Lineage: Bacteria; Pseudomonadati; Pseudomonadota; Alphaproteobacteria; Rhodobacterales; Roseobacteraceae. The record is from Rfam.